UGGAAUAUAUUGGAUGUUUGACGUAAUCAUCAAACAUAAAUAGAAAUUUCGGAAAAAUCAAAUAUUUCGUACUUAUGAUGAUUUAGCCAAUUCGCCUAUAGAUUUACAAAUACAUGAAUAGGCGUGCAUAUAUGUAUGUGAGUAUGUGCACUUUUAAAUACUGUACUGGGUCGGUUUAAGCUUUGACUGGGUGUGAGUGUGUGUGACUGUGUGUGGGUUGACCAAAAGGGAGCCAUUUUAUCGCGUAUGUAUGUAUGGCAAUGUCUUUGAAUGCACACUGUGGAAUCGUGCGGAAAAUGGGAAAAAUACAUUUAGGCGAAAAAGGUAAGCCGUAGCAAGGCCUGAGCUGUUGAAGCCGACGUCGUUGCAAUAUGAGCAUAUGAAUACGUACAAGCGUGGGUGUGUGUCCAGCUGUAUGUUGAACAUGGCUGAGCCUUCUUUCGAUGCUGAGUGCGACGAUGAUGGAAUUGCAAUUAUACUGAUUCAGCUUACCUGUAAU
This is a long non-coding RNA of Drosophila montana, 499 nucleotides long. RefSeq lists it as uncharacterized. The record is from RefSeq and is a predicted model, not a curated record. Lineage: Eukaryota; Metazoa; Arthropoda; Insecta; Diptera; Drosophilidae. The transcript is spliced from 3 exons.